This 411-nucleotide ribosomal RNA is filed under the name Bacteroidota bacterium. Its description in RNAcentral is "Bacteroidetes bacterium partial 16S ribosomal RNA". It matches the Rfam family "Bacterial small subunit ribosomal RNA", at positions 355 to 776 of the family's 1533-position model. The record is from RNAcentral. Lineage: Bacteria; Pseudomonadati; Bacteroidota.
UGGGGAAUCUUGCGCAAUGGGGGAAACCCUGACGCAGCGACGCCGCGUGCGGGAUGAAGGCCUUCGGGUUGUAAACCGCUUUCAGCAGGGACGAGGCCUUAUGGUGACGGUACCUGCAGAAGAAGCUCCGGCUAAAUACGUGCCAGCAGCCGCGGUAAUACGUAUGGAGCAAGCGUUAUCCGGAUUCAUUGGGCGUAAAGCGAGCGCAGGCGGUCAAUUAAGUCUGAUGUGAAAGCCCCCGGCUCAACCGGGGAGGGUCAUUGGAAACUGGUUGACUGGAGUGCAGAAGAGGAGAGUGGAAUUCCAUGUGUAGCGGUGAAAUGCGUAGAUAUAUGGAGGAACACCAGUGGCGAAGGCGACUCUCUGGUCUGUAACUGACGCUGAGGCUCGAAAGCGUGGGUAGCAAACAGG